This 253-nucleotide ribosomal RNA is filed under the name uncultured bacterium. RNAcentral describes it as "partial 16S ribosomal RNA". It matches the Rfam family "Bacterial small subunit ribosomal RNA", at positions 524 to 776 of the family's 1533-position model. The record is from RNAcentral.
CACGUAGGGCGCAAGCGUUGUCCGGAAUUAUUGGGCGUAAAGAGCUCGUAGGCGGUCUGUUGCGUCUGCUGUGAAAACCCGGGGCUUAACCCCUGGCUUGCAGUGGAUACGGACAGACUAGAGGUAGGUAGGGGAGAAUGGAAUUCCCGGCGUAGCGGUGAAAUGCGCAGAUAUCGGGAGGAACACCGGUGGCGAAGGCGGUUCUCUGGGCCUUACCUGACGCUGAGGAGCGAAAGCGUGGGGAGCGAACAGG